Molecule: ribosomal RNA, 581 nt
Filed under: Botryosphaeria dothidea
Lineage: Eukaryota; Fungi; Ascomycota; Dothideomycetes; Botryosphaeriales; Botryosphaeriaceae
Description: partial large subunit ribosomal RNA
Rfam family: Eukaryotic large subunit ribosomal RNA
Source: RNAcentral
CCGUUAAUGCCUUAGUACGGCGAGUGAGCGGCACAGCUCAAAUUUGAAAGCUGGCUCCUUUGGAGUCCGCGUUGUAAUUUGUAGAGGAUGAUUCGGCAAGGGCUCCCGCCUAAGUCUCCUGGAACGGAGCGUCAUAGAGGGUGAGAAUCCCGUAUGCGGUGGGCUGCCUAAGCCAUGUGAAUCUCCUUCGACGAGUCGAGUUGUUUGGGAAUGCAGCUCUAAAUGGGAGGUAAAUUUCUUCUAAAGCUAAAUACCGGCCAGAGACCGAUAGCGCACAAGUAGAGUGAUCGAAAGAUGAAAAGCACUUUGGAAAGAGAGUUAAAAAGUACGUGAAAUUGUUGAAAGGGAAGCGCUUGCAGCCAGACUUGUCCGCAGUUGCUCAGCCGGUCUCCUGACCGGUGUACUCUUCUGCGGCCAGGCCAGCAUCAGUUCGGGCGGUCGGAUAAAGACCUCGGGAAUGUAGCUCCUCUCGGGGAGUGUUAUAGCCCGGGGUGGAAUGCGGCCAGCCUGGACUGAGGAUCUCGCUUCGGCUAGGAUGCUGGCGUAAUGGCUGUAAGCGGCCCGUCUUGAAACACGGACCA